RNAcentral lists this ribosomal RNA (311 nucleotides) under uncultured bacterium. RNAcentral's name for it is "bacterial SSU rRNA". It matches the Rfam family "Bacterial small subunit ribosomal RNA", at positions 28 to 334 of the family's 1533-position model. The record is from RNAcentral.
GAUGAACGCUGGCGGCGUGCCUAAUACAUGCAAGUCGAGCGAACAGAUAAGGAGCUUGCUCCUUUGACGUUAGCGGCGGACGGGUGAGUAACACGUGGGUAACCUGCCUCAUACAGGGGGAUAACAGUUGGAAAUGACUGCUAAUACCGCAUAAGACCACAGUACCGCAUGGUGCAGGGGUAAAAACUCCGGUGGUAUGAGAUGGACCCGCGUCUGAUUAGGUAGUUGGUGGGGUAACGGCCUACCAAGCCGACGAUCAGUAGCCGACCUGAGAGGGUGACCGGCCACAUUGGGACUGAGACACGGCCCAA